UACGUAGGGUGCGAGCGUUGUCCGGAAUUAUUGGGCGUAAAGAGCUUGUAGGCGGUCUGUCGCGUCUGCUGUGAAAAUCCGGGGCUCAACCCCGGACUUGCAGUGGGUACGGGCAGACUAGAGUGUGGUAGGGGAGACUGGAAUUCCUGGUGUAGCGGUGAAAUGCGCAGAUAUCAGGAGGAACACCGGUGGCGAAGGCGGAUCUCUGGGCCUUACCUGACGCUGAGGCGCGAAAGCUAGGGGAGCAAACAGG
This 253-nucleotide ribosomal RNA is filed under the name uncultured bacterium. RNAcentral describes it as "partial 16S ribosomal RNA". It matches the Rfam family "Bacterial small subunit ribosomal RNA", at positions 524 to 776 of the family's 1533-position model. The record is from RNAcentral.